This 1182-nucleotide ribosomal RNA is filed under the name uncultured Campylobacterota bacterium. RNAcentral describes it as "bacterial SSU rRNA". It matches the Rfam family "Bacterial small subunit ribosomal RNA", at positions 293 to 1496 of the family's 1533-position model. Lineage: Bacteria; Pseudomonadati; Campylobacterota. The record is from RNAcentral.
UGAGAGGAUGAUCAGUCACACUGGAACUGAGACACGGUCCAGACUCCUACGGGAGGCAGCAGUGGGGAAUAUUACACAAUGGAGGAAACUCUGAUGUAGCAACGCCGCGUGGAGGAUGACACAUUUCGGUGCGUAAACUCCUUUUAUAUGGGAAGAUAAUGACGGUACCAUAUGAAUAAGCACCGGCUAACUCCGUGCCAGCAGCCGCGGUAAUACGGAGGGUGCAAGCGUUACUCGGAAUCACUGGGCGUAAAGCGCAUGUAGGCGGUCUUGUAAGUUGGGUGUGAAAGCCUAUGGCUCAACCAUAGAACUGCACUCAAAACUACUAGACUAGAGUCUGGGAGAGGAAAAUGGAAUUAGUUGUGUAGGGGUAAAAUCCGUAGAGAUAACUAGGAAUACCAAAAGCGAAGGCAAUUUUCUGGAACAGUACUGACGCUCAGAUGCGAAAGCGUGGGUAGCAAACAGGAUUAGAUACCCUGGUAGUCCACGCCCUAAACGAUGAAUGUUAGUCGUCGGGAGGCUCGUCCUUUCGGUGAUGCAGCUAACGCAUUAAACAUUCCGCCUGGGGAGUACGGUCGCAAGAUUAAAACUCAAAGGAAUAGACGGGGACCCGCACAAGUGGUGGAGCAUGUGGUUUAAUUCGAAGAUACGCGAAGAACCUUACCUAGCCUUGACAUUGAUAGAAUCCGAUGGAAACAUUGGAGUGCCAGUUUACUGGAGCUUGAAAACAGGUGCUGCACGGCUGUCGUCAGCUCGUGUCGUGAGAUGUUGGGUUAAGUCCCGCAACGAGCGCAACCCUCGUCCUUAGUUACUAACGGUUCGGCCGAGGACUCUAAGGAGACUGCCUUCGUAAGGAGGAGGAAGGUGAGGACGACGUCAAGUCAUCAUGGCCCUUACGGCUAGGGCGACACACGUGCUACAAUGGAUAGGACAAUGAGACGCAAUACCGCGAGGUGGAGCAAAUCUAUAAACCUAUUCUCAGUUCGGAUUGUAGUCUGCAACUCGACUACAUGAAGCUGGAAUCACUAGUAAUCGUAGAUCAGCCAUGCUACGGUGAAUACGUUCCCGGGUCUUGUACUCACCGCCCGUCACACCAUGGGAGUUGAUUUCACCCGAAGCGGGGAAGCUAAACUGGCUACCCUCCACGGUGGAAUCAGCGACUGGGGUGAAGUGGUAACAAGG